AUUUUAACGAGGUGGUAAAAUAUCCCAGAGUAUGCUAAAGACCAAAAUAUUGUAAAAAAGAAAUAAAGAGUAUGCUAAAGACCAAAAUAUUGUAAAAAAAAAUUAAAUUAAUGGACUUUAGGUUUUACCUUAAAUAAUUUGAUUCACAUGAGAGACUAAAACAUCCAUGUAGGAUCUGAACUGCUGGGGGAGGAGGCUUGGUUCUGACAACAGCAAUGACGCAGCUGUGUGGUGAGGAGGUGCUUUGUGGCACGGGGUGGAAACGUCUGGAAGAGAUACCAACCCCACUCAGGCUUGUUCUUCCCCUAAUUGCCUGACUUUUAUUGAGGAAUACACAAAACGAGCACUUAAAAUUAGAUUCUGAGAGCUCUUGCUUAAAUGAAGAGACUGUCAAUAUUUGCAGAGCGAUGCUCCGGCUCGCCCAGACGGUAUCCGAGUACACGGCACUUGAAUGGCUGAAUGCAUGGAGCACUCUCUUCCCUUUCUCUGCUUAAUGAAAAACAAAAUGGGGAGAGCCUGGUUUUGCUUUUCAGGCUCAUUGUGUUCAUGUUUUUUCCAGAUUCUCACAAACUUGGUCUUGACUUCUCAGAAGCUACUUCAAACAGCAAACUCAGCACAAUGAUGAAAUACUCAGAGCAGACAUUGACUGGUUCUGGAAGCAGAGCAGGAGUGCAUUGCCUGAAGGCUGAAUUGAAUUGUAACACAGCUUGAUCUUGCCAGGACGGCAAGGUAAAGCCUCCCACACAACACCCUUGCUUCUUGAACUUUUAUCACUAAGAAAUUAUCAUUUUGAAGCUGAUGGGCAUUAACAUCCCAGGUGGUUGGCAUCUCUUUGUGAAUUUUUUAUUUUACUUUGCUAGAAUAGCAAAGGCAUCUCUUUGUGGUUUUAUUAUCUUGCUUUGCUAGAAUAGCAAGAGCCUGGUCUGGAGCAAUUUCAUGCUUCUCAGGUAGGGCCAGACUCUGUAGGAUCUGUAAUAUUACAAGCUCAAAGCAUCCACAGUGAAGGCUUCUACCCUCUAAUCUUUCUGUGCUCAAAGCAUUUCUCAUCCAUUCCUGACCUCUGAUCUUCUUGGAUCUCUGGCUUUUGCAGGCAGUCAGUUGUCCUCCCUUGCAAAACCUUCCCCGCCUCUGUCUCCCCAGUGACGUGGGGUUGAUUCUGACACAGGGGAUAGAAAAUCUUGCAGCCCACAGCAGGGGAUAGAAAGUCUUGCAUGCCUGCUUCCCUGCCCUGCUGCAUCUGUCACCCUGCACAGGUGCAGCUGGGUCCCUGUGCUGGGAGCAGCCAGAGCAUGGGCGUGGUUCAUGCAACAGCACUUCCCGCCUCUUCC
This 1328-nucleotide long non-coding RNA is filed under the name Ficedula albicollis (Collared flycatcher). RNAcentral describes it as "lncRNA (ENSFALG00000026412.1)". Lineage: Eukaryota; Metazoa; Chordata; Aves; Passeriformes; Muscicapidae. The record is from RNAcentral.